CAACUUUCAGCAACGGAUCUCUUGGCUCUCGCAUCGAUGAAGAACGCAGCGAAAUGCGAUAAGUAAUGUGAAUUGCAGAAUUCAGUGAAUCAUCGAAUCUUUGAACGCACCUUGCGCUCCUUGGUAUUCCGAGGAGCAUGCCUGUUUGAGUG
Molecule: ribosomal RNA, 152 nt
Filed under: Cortinarius anomalovelatus
Lineage: Eukaryota; Fungi; Basidiomycota; Agaricomycetes; Agaricales; Cortinariaceae
Description: 5.8S ribosomal RNA
Rfam family: 5.8S ribosomal RNA
About the family: 5.8S ribosomal RNA (5.8S rRNA) is a component of the large subunit of the eukaryotic ribosome. It is transcribed by RNA polymerase I as part of the 45S precursor that also contains 18S and 28S rRNA. Functionally, it is thought that 5.8S rRNA may be involved in ribosome translocation.
Source: RNAcentral